GGCGACGGGUUCCUGGCUGUGGUGUACGGCUGCUCACCAUACUACGAGAUCUCACAGGACUGGACGGCAAAUAGUCGCGUCUGCUCCGGGCUUCAGCGGGGACACAAGCAGCCCUUCUACAGCCUGCUGCUGGAGGGUGACCGGUUCGGAUACAUGGCUGAGGAGGAGCUGCAGCUGUCCCCGGAUCCCCAGCCAAUCAGCCAUCAGGAAGUGGGUCGCUUC
Pollicipes pollicipes is the source of this 222-nucleotide long non-coding RNA. RefSeq lists it as uncharacterized. The record is from RefSeq and is a predicted model, not a curated record. The transcript is spliced from 3 exons. NCBI's taxonomy places the organism in Eukaryota, Metazoa, Arthropoda, Thecostraca, Pollicipedomorpha, Pollicipedidae.